This 288-nucleotide long non-coding RNA is filed under the name Homo sapiens (human). RNAcentral describes it as "HSALNT0048514". Lineage: Eukaryota; Metazoa; Chordata; Mammalia; Primates; Hominidae. The record is from RNAcentral.
CAGAGGAUGCGUCUUUUUCUCCCUUCCUUUGUCAUCUUUCUCCAUGUGGGUUUUUAUAUUUAUUUACUUAUACUUAGUUUUAUUCCAAAACUUCUUUGAACUGGGUCAUAAAGCCAACUGCAUAUUGUAAAGUAGAAGAAACUAAGCUCUGAGAAAUCAGGUAAAAAGUGGCAAGUGAUAGCUGGUGAUGGAACGCUACCUAUCCUGGCUUACCCUUUUGCAAAUGUUACCUGGGUGAGACAAAGACAUUUGAACCCUGAGGUUUCUUGUAUUGGUUUUGCUUUGUUU